Molecule: unclassified non-coding RNA, 348 nt
Filed under: soil metagenome
Description: partial contains 5.8S ribosomal RNA, internal transcribed spacer 2, and large subunit ribosomal RNA
Rfam family: 5.8S ribosomal RNA (bases 1-120)
Source: RNAcentral
GAUGAAGAACGCAGCGAAAUGCGGUAAGUAAUGUGAAUUGCAGAAUUCAGUGAAUCAUCGAAUCUUUGAACGCACAUUGCGCCCGCCAGUAUUCUGGCGGGCAUGCCUGUCUGAGCGUCAUUUCAACCCUCAUGCCCCUAGGGCGUGGUGUUGGGGAUCGGCCAAAGCCCGCGAGGGACGGCCGGCCCCUAAAUCUAGUGGCGGACCCGUCGUGGCCUCCUCUGCGAAGUAGUGAUAUUCCGCAUCGGAGAGCGAUGAGCCCCUGCCGUUAAACCCCCAACUUUCCAAGGUUGACCUCAGAUCAGGUAGGAAUACCCGCUGAACUUAAGCAUAUCAAUAAGCGGAGGA